This 466-nucleotide ribosomal RNA is filed under the name Salmonella enterica. RNAcentral's name for it is "partial 23S ribosomal RNA". It matches the Rfam family "Bacterial large subunit ribosomal RNA", at positions 1291 to 1757 of the family's 2925-position model. RNAcentral also lists the same sequence under 1 other name. Lineage: Bacteria; Pseudomonadati; Pseudomonadota; Gammaproteobacteria; Enterobacterales; Enterobacteriaceae. The record is from RNAcentral.
CGAAUGCUGACAUAAGUAACGAUAAAGCGGGUGAAAAGCCCGCUCGCCGGAAGACCAAGGGUUCCUGUCCAACGUUAAUCGGGGCAGGGUGAGUCGACCCCUAAGGCGAGGCCGAAAGGCGUAGUCGAUGGGAAACGGGUUAAUAUUCCCGUACUUGGUGUUACUGCGAAGGGGGGACGGAGAAGGCUAUGUUGGCCGGGCGACGGUUGUCCCGGUUUAAGCGUGUAGGUGUGUGUUCCAGGUAAAUCCGGUUCACUUUAACACUGAGGCGUGAUGACGAGGCACUACGGUGCUGAAGUAACAAAUGCCCUGCUUCCAGGAAAAGCCUCUAAGCAUCAGGUAACAUCAAAUCGUACCCCAAACCGACACAGGUGGUCAGGUAGAGAAUACCAAGGCGCUUGAGAGAACUCGGGUGAAGGAACUAGGCAAAAUGGUGCCGUAACUUCGGGAGAAGGCACGCUGACAC